GACCGACACAGAGACGCAGCAGCAAAAACAAAACAAAAAAAACUUGGAAGCUUGACACAAUGAACAUUGUAAAUCGAUGAAUUGAACGAUGAAGUUGUCUAUGUGAGCGCUGUUAUGCUUGCUCCUAACAUUCUACUUCUCAGAAAGCUCACGACGGUUCGGUAAGGCGACACAACAUGGCUCUUACAAUACAGAUGCAUUUUAAACACACAAAACGGAAAUUACAGGACGGGGGCUACUACUACAGCUUCUUCCGGAUAUGAUUAAUCCAAGGGAUGAUGAUGGCCUACCGCACCGCAACGCACCAACCAUCAGGCGUACGAGAACUUCAACGUGCCUAAAUUCAACAAACUUCCAGUCGGCGACUCUACCACCAGAACGAACCCGACCAUGUGGAUGGGAGAAGAAAGCGCGAGAGAAAGAGUCAUAAUCACCAUCAUCAUCACCAUCACCAUCGUGAUUACUACCCGUCCAGCACCCAUGCCCUCCAUCCAUCCAUCGACUCUUCCAGUGUACACACACACCGUUGCCGAAGGUCGUGUUUAUGAACCCAUUGGAAAGAAAUACAAACCUCCCAUUCCCCGGAUCACACCGAACUGGGAUCAAAUCAUGCAGAAAGGAUUCAUAUUUCUGCGUCCCCCAUCCCAACCCAUGGAGUGUGACUUCCACGCUCUGCGCUCAAACGCAAGCUGUCCCCAUGGCACUAUUUCGCCCAACAACGGCGCACUCUCUGUGGUGAAAUUGCACAGCUUCCACAUCCCAUCUCGCGUCGGCGCUUCCAACGCCAGCUGUCGAUGAAUGAUGAUAAAUUUGUAAUUAAUUGAUGAAAAAUGGCAUCACCAUCCGAGUGUGCGAGCGGGGAAAAGCACCACAGCACGGAGAAAAGCUCGGGCGAAGAACGUCGUCGAAGCCGCACACGAACGAACGAACAACAAAACAAAAAACAGUAAACGCCACAGAACCCAAUUCUGCCCCCUCCCAUUCCAUUCCCGCUGUUCUGUUGAUCCACUACCGAAUUGCGGAGUUUUGUUUGUGUUAUAACUUCUCCCCGUCGUCGGAACGUCGUUCUCAACACCGGAAGAAAGAUGAUACUAAUUUACCCGUCAUAAGCAGACAUCGUGGAACCGAGACGAGCGAGAGGCUUCGUUCGUCUAGCAAACCAAACGAAAAAAUGGCCAACCAAGGGGCAGAGCGAGCAGAGAUAGAAUGAAACAGAACCAAUAGAACAGCGCGCAACAGCAGGAGCAACAAUGGUUCACCGUGAAGGCUGCGCACGCCACGCCAUAGGGAAGGAAAACUUGACAGGACCAACUCUCUCGCAUCAACGUGGUCCCCACCAACACCACCACCACCAUCACCAACGUCCGACGAAAUGAACGAGGAUGCGAGAGGAUCCGUGUGAAGGAUUUCACAUCAGGAAUUCCAUUCUCAGGCAUGUCGCUGGAAUGCCUUCAUCACUCUUCUUCCUGCCGCCAUUCAUCGUUUACGGUUGGUUCGUUUGCCAGUUUUCGGACACAUGCUUACAUACUGAACGGAACCGGGACACAAAAAGUACUUCGGAUGUUCUAAAAAUUGUAACCCGCAAAAUAUGUCUAUCCCGGGUCUCUCCGUCACAUGCGAGCGUCACAGCGUCACAGAAGGGCACCCGUAAAAAGGACACCCUCGUUGAGAUGGCCUUUUGCAACAACAAAAAAAUCCUUUCCUACUUUUGCAUUCUUACGCAAAAUGGCGUGUAUAUGCGAAAAUGAGCGACGCAAACACCAACCGAAACCAAACCUUCCGGCUUUCAUGAGCUCCAAGAGUUUUAACUAUCUAUUGUUUUCUUGAUUCUUGAAUAGACAACAUUUGUGUUCUUCUUUGUGUGUGUGUUUGUUUUUUUUUUCUUUUUUCCCCUCUGAUGCUGCGCCUCGAAGCUGUCCGGGAUACACCGUUACAAUGAGUGGUAUACUCACGCUUCUGACACUGAACAGAUAAAGCUAUAUUGCACAAUAGGGGAAAGAAACAUACACACCUACAUACAUAUCAAGUAUCUUCCAUUCGGGAAACACUCACGGACGCACACACACACAACCAGCAAAGUUCCCCCCUGCGUGCAACAAAACAUCAACAAAUAAACGAAUGAGCGCUCCGUACAAGCUCCUUGCCACACAGCCUCGCCUCCGGGAAUUUUAAAUCGACUAACAACACAGUUUGAUCGCAGAGACCUCCGUACCAAGCACUCCAACCAGGAAGAAUAAACAACAAACAUGACGAACGUCCGGAGUUUUUACGAACAGCAGAGAGAGAAAAAAAAACAACUUUCUGCAAUUGUUAAGCAAAGCAUGAGUAAGGUGAUGGAAGGCGAAUUUUCAAGCAACGCAGCCCUUUUCAUUGUUGCGCUCCGUUUUUCGCUCCCGAUGAUAGGAGAACGCGGUCCGUUACGUUUCUUCAGUAUGCUUUAACAUAUCCGCGAAGCGGACGCAUGGUGGCGUAAAGCACCGGAUGAUGAUGUCGGAUGGGAUAGCGAAGCAGGUGGAGCGGGAUGAGCAAAUGACUUAAUGUAUGAAUGACAAAACAUUUCCCAUUACUGCUGUACACCCGGUCGCCCAUUAUUGUAAUUGUUCGUUUAGAAAAUGAAAGCGUUACUGCCCUUUCUGUCGGAGGAGAACAAGAGCUUCCUUCAAUAGAAAUGGUUCACACAGAGAAUGUAAUCUACUCCGCGUGAUUCCAUGUGUCAGAGGUUUGUAAAGACAGGGAAAUUAUAGAUGGUUCGAACGGAAGUUACAAGGACCACAGAUAAAGCAACGAACGUGUGCUGCACUUCUCUUGAGAAAUUGAAAUAAACGAGACUUCAACGGUUGAACUGAAUUAAACCAUGAUA
Long non-coding RNA from Anopheles stephensi (Asian malaria mosquito), 2860 nucleotides. RefSeq lists it as uncharacterized. The record is from RefSeq and is a predicted model, not a curated record. The transcript has 3 exons. NCBI's taxonomy places the organism in Eukaryota, Metazoa, Arthropoda, Insecta, Diptera, Culicidae.